RNAcentral lists this unclassified non-coding RNA (637 nucleotides) under Hevea brasiliensis (rubber tree). Lineage: Eukaryota; Viridiplantae; Streptophyta; Magnoliopsida; Malpighiales; Euphorbiaceae. The record is from RNAcentral.
GUCAACUAAAACUCCAUCUUGAUACUGAUUACCAGACAAAAUUGCUGUAUUUCUGUCAUUAGAAACUGCAUCAGGAUAUGAACUGGGAGAAAGAUUGCGCUCCAGGAAAUACUGAUCAAACAGCAAACACGAGCUGUCAUCACUGAAAACUAUUUUCUCUAGAUUGUCAAUUCCAUGACAUCCAUUGCUUGUUUCAUCCACAGCACCAACUUUCUCAGGGUACCUCCCUAAGCCACAAGAAUGAGAAAGUUCUUGCAAGUAUUUUAAUACCUUUUUCAGUUCUUCGGGACCCAAAAAGCAUAUGCACAGAGGGCUUUGAUCAAUAUUGUAGUUAAGAAGUUGAGAGCCAAAAGAAAGACUCUGAAGUUCUUCCACCACAUAAUGCAUAACCUUGCUGAGGUGAGUUGAUGCAAGAUAUUUAUUUUUAAUAAGAGCCUCAAACACAGCACGGAUUCUUUCAAGAAGCUUUGCUCGCUCAGGGUCAUCAGACAGUGGCAUGUCUUCAGGAAGUAAACAAAUCUUUGAACCACCAUCUUCAUCACAAUCCAUAUAGUCAAUAUCUGAGAUCUUAUCAUUUUUUCUGCUCUCAACCAUAUUUACAUUGAGUCGAUCCCCUACUUUCUUCCUUCUAGGGGAC